Molecule: long non-coding RNA, 334 nt
Filed under: Elaeis guineensis (African oil palm)
Lineage: Eukaryota; Viridiplantae; Streptophyta; Magnoliopsida; Arecales; Arecaceae
Description: long non-coding RNA (EGUI_LNC051958)
Source: RNAcentral
UAUGCUUUAGAUCUAAAAUAAAAAUUAUAUCGAUCUCAUCGAUACUGAAAUUUUAGAUCUAACUAUUAGAUCUAUAUAGGAAUCAAAAUAAAUUAGAGAUCAUUACCAAAUAAAUUUUGAUCUUGAUUUUCUCUAAUCCAAUGAUUGGAGAGGGUGUUCUUCAGAUCACUUCAGCCACACGAAGUCGUCUGGCCUCUAUAUGAAAAUCCAAGUGAAGACUGGUGUAUAUCAGGGGCUCGAAGAUGCUAGUCUGUGAACAACUUCAACAACUGAUCUCUUUCUUCUUCUACAAGCACUUUAAACACUCCAAAGUGAUAGAAGAUCUGGAGGAGGA